GGGAAAGGAAGAUGAAACGUCAAAACCCACAUUAGAAGUUCUCCAGAAUUUUAGGACAAACCUCUGCUGGCAAGAGUACCACUAAGCCUUUCAUGUUGGUUGCCUAAAGGGAGAACUGCAGGUAGGAAAUCUCUACUCUUGCUACCUAUGCUAAACAACUUUAGAGAGUGGAUGGACAUUCAAGUGUUAGCUUGGCCAGCAGCAAAGCUGGCCAAGCUGCAUUUGGGGCUCCCUCAGCUCUCUCGCUGCCUAGCGGCUGAUGCACUCCAGAGAAAGAAAAGUUGG
This 285-nucleotide long non-coding RNA is filed under the name Calidris pugnax (ruff). RNAcentral's name for it is "lncRNA (ENSCPUG00000015335.1)". Lineage: Eukaryota; Metazoa; Chordata; Aves; Charadriiformes; Scolopacidae. The record is from RNAcentral.